UUCAUCUACUGAUACUGAGUCUGCAGUCAGAGGACUCCUCCCAUGUCACAGGCUAGGACUGGAUCUGCUGCUCAUAUGUUAAAUAAUGAAAGAAGAAGAAAUAGCAAGAAGACUUCAUGAGAAUACCUACACAAAUCAAACUUCCUAUGAAAUUAGUUAUGAAAGUACUUGAAUUGAGAGGGGGAAGUCUAAUGCUCACUAAUGUCUUGAGAAAAUCCCGGACAGAAAGUGGACUGACCCUCAGAUGACA
Molecule: long non-coding RNA, 250 nt
Organism: Grammomys surdaster
Lineage: Eukaryota; Metazoa; Chordata; Mammalia; Rodentia; Muridae
Exons: 3
Source: RefSeq, a predicted model, not a curated record